GUGCACACACCAUUGUGCAUGUGUGCUGCUGUGUCUGUGGGCACACACCAUUGUACAUGUGUGCUGGUGUGUCUGCAUGCACCAUUGUGCAUGUGUGCUGGUGUGUCUGCAUGCACCAUUGUGCAUGUGUGCUGGUGUGUCUGCACGCACCAUUGUGCGUGUGUGCUGGUGUGUCUGCACGCACCAUUGUGUGUGUGUGCUGGUGUGUCUGCACGCACCAUUGUGUGUGCGUGCUGCUGUGUCUGUGGGCACGCACCAUUGUGUGUGUGUGCUGGUGUGUCUGCAUGCACCAUUGUGUGUGCGUGCUGCUGUGUCUGUGGGUGUGCACCAUUGUGCGUGUGUGCUGGUGUGUCUGCAUGCACCAUUGUGUGUGCAUGCUGCUGUGUCUGUGGGCACGCACCAUUGUGCGUGUGUGCUGGUGUGUCUGCAUGCACCAUUGUGUGUGCGUGCUGCUGUGUCUGUGGGUGUGCACCAUUGUGCGUGUGUGCUGGUGUGUCUGCAUGCACCAUUGUGUGUGCAUGCUGCUGUGUCUGUGGGCACGCACCAUUGUGCAUGUGUGCUGGUGUGUCUGCACGCACCAUUGUGCGUGUGUGCUGGUGUGUCUGCACACACCAUUGUGUGUGUGUGCUGGUGUGUCUGCAUGCACCAUUGUGUGUGCAUGCUGCUGUGUCUGUGGGCACGCACCAUUGUGCGUGUGUGCUGGUGUGUCUGCAUGCACCAUGUGCGUGUGUGCUGCUGUGUCUGUGGGUGUGCACCAUUGUGCGUGUGUGCUGGUGUGUCUGCAUGCACUAUUGUGUGUGCAUGCUGCUGUGUCUGUGGGCACGCACCAUUGUGCGUGUGUGCUGGUGCCACUGUCUGUGUGUGCAUGUCACUGUGCCCAUGUGUUGCUAUCUGCACAUCCCCUGGUGCUGCCACCUCCAACAGCUGCAGGGCCAGCCGGGAACAGCCCCCAUGCCCCCUCCCUGCUGUCUUUUAUCAUCAUUUGCCACGAAAGGGAGCCCAGGAGGACGGUGAUAAAUAAGGGCCACUUAAAAUAUGAGACGACCACUCUGACUUUGGGGAAUAUUUCUUCUGUGGAGCAGCUGGUGCCGCCUCUGUCCUUGUGGAAAGGGGUCCCAGGGGCGGCAGCCCCUGCCUGGCUUCCUCAAGCUCCCUCCUCUCUACUCCCUCCCCCGCCCCUGCCCUCCCAGCUCUGGUCUUGGAGGGUUUGGGAGGCCUGGGAAGGGGAGUGGAGGGGACACACCCCAAGGCCAGUGCCAUCAAGUCAGGAUGGCCCUCAGCUUGCCCUUCCUCGAUGCUCUGUGGAAGACGGAGUGUCAGCUGAGAGGCGGUGGGGAGUACGCGGCCUCCAUCUUGUGGGGUUCCCCUUCUAACUCCCUUUCCUUUCUACACUCAAGUGAGGGGACAAUUGAGGGGCUCCAGAGAGCUGAGACACAUGGAGAAACACAUGUGGACACAUACCCAGUCACAUAAUUUUCAGCAGCUACUAUGUGCCAAGCCCGAAGAGAAAGACACAAUAGACACAUAUCCUGUGCAGAGAGAACCAUGAACACACACACAAUACUUGCUAACAAUAAAGACACAA
Molecule: long non-coding RNA, 1585 nt
Filed under: Bos indicus x Bos taurus (hybrid cattle)
Lineage: Eukaryota; Metazoa; Chordata; Mammalia; Artiodactyla; Bovidae
Description: lncRNA (ENSBIXG00000006202.1)
Source: RNAcentral